CGCCCAGGAGGGCGGCGGAUCGGAUGCCGCUCUGGUCGGCAUCGGCAUCGCCCUCGCGCUGAUCGUCUCGGCACUGGCCGUCC
Molecule: transfer RNA, 83 nt
Filed under: Microbacterium arabinogalactanolyticum
Lineage: Bacteria; Bacillati; Actinomycetota; Actinomycetes; Micrococcales; Microbacteriaceae
Description: tRNA-Gln
Source: RNAcentral